GAUUAACGUUUGCUUUUGUUAAAUCAGGGCUUCCCCAGCCAGGACUUCGGCUCAGACUGUGGCAUAUUCAUGUUGAUGGUAGGUCAUAACGAGCUGUAAUGCACAAAUAUUGUAUCUAGAAUAACUUUCCAACAUGGACUUUUUUAAAGUUAUCUCACAUGUUGUCUCAUAAUUUUUUUUAAGUCUGCCAUGUACAUCGUUAUGGAGUCACAGUUUGACUACUCAGUUGUAAGUACUUUUCAACACGCAGUGUCAUCCUCAAGAUUGUAUUUUGUAUUGUGCACUAAAAUGAAAUACAAACAACAAUUUCAGCAUGACAUGCCUGUUUGGCGGCGAUGGUGGUGCCUGUUGCUCCUGGAGAACAAUUCUUUGAACAGGUAGACAGUUUAAGUAAACUAGAUGUCCUAAUUAACUGGAAGACAAUCAAUAUAUUGUACUCAAAGACAUAUUGUCAUUACAGUUGUGGGAAAAUCUUCGCCCACUGGACCAAAGAAUGUCAAGAGCUCAUUGCUGGAAAGCAUACUCCGGUCUUCAGUCUAAAGAGGAAGGCAGAGCAGCAGGACAUAGAGGUUAGAAAAUUGCCUUGUAAAAACAGUAUUAUCUCAGUGGGAGUCCUUCAAAAUGCACACAGUUGUAUGGAUCAACAUCGUCUCGAUGUAUUUGGUAAUUGAUGUUACUUUUCAAAUUGCCUUGUCAAGGAAACCAUGACGCAGACGGUAUCGGAUGUCCAAAGAAUGUGCAUGGCAGAUUCAAUGCAAUUCUGUGUCUACCAGACAUCGAACAACACAGGAGAGAGGUGUGUUG
RNAcentral lists this long non-coding RNA (804 nucleotides) under Xyrichtys novacula (pearly razorfish). The record is from RNAcentral. Lineage: Eukaryota; Metazoa; Chordata; Actinopteri; Labriformes; Labridae.